This 319-nucleotide ribosomal RNA is filed under the name uncultured eukaryote. RNAcentral's name for it is "partial 18S ribosomal RNA". It matches the Rfam family "Eukaryotic small subunit ribosomal RNA", at positions 1470 to 1796 of the family's 1831-position model. The record is from RNAcentral.
CCCUUAGAUGUUCUGGGCUGCACGCGUGCUACAAUGGCGUUUCCAGCAAGUCUGCGAACCCGAGAGGGCCAGCGGAUCUUCGAAUUGGCGCCGUGAUCGGGACAGUCGAUUGCAAUUAUUUGACUCAAACGAGGAAUUCCUUGUAAUCGCGAUUCAUCAUAUCGCGCUGAAUACGUCCCUGCCCUUUGUACACACCGCCCGUCGCUCCUACCGAUUGAGCGAUCCGGUAAAUGUUUUGGAUUGGUGCCGGGGCGGCUAGCUGCCGGUCGCUACGAAAUUUUGUGAACCUUAUCGCUUAGAGGAAGGAAAAGUCGUAACA